UUGCAGUUUGGACAGCUCUUUCGGCUAAG
RNAcentral lists this small RNA (29 nucleotides) under Bombyx mori (domestic silkworm). RNAcentral's name for it is "ovarian small RNA-2380". The record is from RNAcentral. Lineage: Eukaryota; Metazoa; Arthropoda; Insecta; Lepidoptera; Bombycidae.